UGCUGGUCUGAAGGUAGUGAGUUAUCUCAACUGACUGUUCACGGUCAGUUACAGAUUGAACUUGUUCUACUCUUCCCCCCUUCUCACGACUGCACUUGACUAAUCUUUA
This 109-nucleotide Y RNA is filed under the name Carlito syrichta (Philippine tarsier). RNAcentral describes it as "Y RNA (ENSTSYG00000025703.1)". It matches the Rfam family "Y RNA". From Rfam's summary of the family: Y RNAs are components of the Ro ribonucleoprotein particle (Ro RNP), in association with Ro60 and La proteins. The Y RNAs and Ro60 and La proteins are well conserved, but the function of the Ro RNP is not known. In humans the RNA component can be one of four small RNAs -- hY1, hY3, hY4 and hY5. The record is from Rfam by way of RNAcentral. Lineage: Eukaryota; Metazoa; Chordata; Mammalia; Primates; Tarsiidae.